UACGGGGGGGGCAAGCGUUGUUCGGAAUUACUGGGCGUAAAGGGCUCGUAGGCGGCCAACUAAGUCAGACGUGAAAUCCCUCGGCUUAACCGGGGAACUGCGUCUGAUACUGGAUGGCUCGAGUUUGGGAGAGGGAUGCGGAAUUCCAGGUGUAGCGGUGAAAUGCGCAGAUAUCAGGAAGAACACCCGUGGCGAAGGCGGCUCUCUGGGACGGUACUGACGCUGAGACGCGAAAGCGUGGGGAGCGAACAGG
This 253-nucleotide ribosomal RNA is filed under the name uncultured bacterium. Its description in RNAcentral is "partial 16S ribosomal RNA". It matches the Rfam family "Bacterial small subunit ribosomal RNA", at positions 524 to 776 of the family's 1533-position model. The record is from RNAcentral.